This 516-nucleotide ribosomal RNA is filed under the name uncultured bacterium. RNAcentral describes it as "partial 16S ribosomal RNA". The record is from RNAcentral.
GGAGUUAGCCGGUGCUUCUUCUGUGAGUGAUGUCCUUCCUGCCGGCUAUUAACCCGCAGGCCUUCUUCCUCACUGAAAGUGCUUUACAACCCGAAGGCCUUCUUCACACACGCGGCAUGGCUGGAUCAGGGUUGCCCCCAUUGUCCAAUAUUCCCCACUGCUGCCUCCCGUAGGAGUCUGGGCCGUGUCUCAGUCCCAGUGUGGCUGAUCAUCCUCUCAGACCAGCUACGGAUCGUCGCCUUGGUGAGCCGUUACCUCACCAACCAGCUAAUCCGACAUAGGCUCAUCCGAUAGCGCGAGGCCCGAAGGUCCCCCGCUUUCCCCCGUAGGGCGUAUGCGGUAUUAGCCUGGGUUUCCCCCAGGUUAUCCCCCACUACCGGGCAGAUUCCUAUGCAUUACUCACCCGUCCGCCGCUCGCCACCAGGGAGCAAGCUCCCCGUGCUGCCGCUCGACUUGCAUGUGUUAGGUCGUCGCCGCCACGCGUUCUACUACUGAGCACUGAUACAACCUACUCGA